AGAGUUUGAUCCUGGCUCAGGACGAACGCUGGCGGCGUGCUUAACACAUGCAAGUCGAACGGAAAGGCCCUUCGGGGUACUCGAGUGGCGAACGGGUGAGUAACACGUGGGUGAUCUGCCCUGCACUUUGGGAUAAGCCUGGGAAACUGGGUCUAAUACCGAAUAGGACCACGCGCUUCAUGGUGUGUGGUGGAAAGCUUUUGCGGUGUGGGAUGGGCCCGCGGCCUAUCAGCUUGUUGGUGGGGUAAUGGCCUACCAAGGCGACGACGGGUAGCCGGCCUGAGAGGGUGACCGGCCACACUGGGACUGAGAUACGGCCCAGACUCCUACGGGAGGCAGCAGUGGGGAAUAUUGCACAAUGGGCGCAAGCCUGAUGCAGCGACGCCGCGUGAGGGAUGACGGCCUUCGGGUUGUAAACCUCUUUCAAUAGGGACGAAGCGCAAGUGACGGUACCUAUAGAAGAAGCACCGGCCAACUACGUGCCAGCAGCCGCGGUAAUACGUAGGGUGCGAGCGUUGUCCGGAAUUACUGGGCGUAAAGAGCUCGUAGGUGGUUUGUCGCGUUGUUCGUGAAAACUCACAGCUUAACUGUGGACGUGCGGGCGAUACGGGCAGACUAGAGUACUGCAGGGGAGACUGGAAUUCCUGGUGUAGCGGUGGAAUGCGCAGAUAUCAGGAGGAACACCGGUGGCGAAGGCGGGUCUCUGGGCAGUAACUGACGCUGAGGAGCGAAAGCGUGGGGAGCGAACAGGAUUAGAUACCCUGGUAGUCC
This 771-nucleotide ribosomal RNA is filed under the name uncultured bacterium. Its description in RNAcentral is "bacterial SSU rRNA". It matches the Rfam family "Bacterial small subunit ribosomal RNA", at positions 8 to 796 of the family's 1533-position model. The record is from RNAcentral.